Molecule: RNA transcript, 1093 nt
Organism: Rhopalosiphum maidis (corn leaf aphid)
Lineage: Eukaryota; Metazoa; Arthropoda; Insecta; Hemiptera; Aphididae
Gene name: profilin pseudogene
Exons: 3
Source: RefSeq, a predicted model, not a curated record
CGUCGACCAACCGACGACGACUCGACGUCGAGACGAGCGUGCCGCCGGAACAUACCAGAUUACCAGCUCGACUCGCGACCACUACUACCACUACCACUGUCAGCUCCCGCCGCCACGCCAUGUGCUAACGCAGUAACACCACGGUUUGUCGUCGUAAUCGUCGACCGUCGUCACUCGUCGUCGCAACAGCAGUGCAACGUUAUUACUCACCCUGGGCAACAGAAGCAGUGAGCUGCAGAUACCGCAAAGCUGACGAGAAUCGAUCGUGCGCACACCCGGACGACGGCAACCACUACAGCGAAGAACCGUUCGCGCGUACGAGCAGACAUCACUGGACAAAAAAUAUUUUGUUUACAACCACCUACUUUCAACCUGCUUUUGUCACAUCCUAUUGAUAUUUCAAGCAGAAAUUUAUAUCAAGUCAUCAACUUAGUUUAAUGUACUAGGUUAUACCUACCCUUUUUCAAGACUUAAUUUUAACGCACACUAAACACAACAUCAAAUAUGUCUUCUUGGCAAGAUUAUGUCGACAAACACCUUAUAGCUUCUAGAUGUGUUACCAAAGCUGCUAUCUCAGGUCAUGAUGGUACCGUUUGGGCAAAUUCCGAUGGAUUUAAUGUUACCAAGGAAGAACUUAGCAGACUAAUUGCUGGUUUUGAAAACCAAAAUGUUCUGGCUGCUUCAGGUGUAACGUUAGCUGGCAGUAGGUUUAUUUAUUUGUCUGGUACUGAUAAAGUCAUUAGAGCAAAGCUGGGUAAAGUAGGUGCACACUGUGUGAAGACCCAACAGGCUGUAGUUGUUUCAUUAUAUGAAGACCCCAUUCAACCACAACAAGCUGCUUCUGUUGUUGAAAAGCUUGGUGAUCAUUUGGUUGCCCAUGGAUACUGAACGUGAAUUGCAAAAAAAAUAUAAUUAAUGUGGCUUCAAAAAUGGAAGAAAAAAAAUUCAAAAUUCAGAAUAUCAAGAACAACUAAAAACUAUGUGUUAUGGCAUUUAAUAUAUUACAUUAAAAUAACCUAAUCUCAAUUACACCCAAUAAAAUAAAUGUUUAUAAUUUUGGGAGAAAUAUAUUAGGUAUAUAUAUAUUAUUUUA